Non-coding RNA from Podarcis lilfordi (Lilford's wall lizard), 73 nucleotides. The record is from the annotation of a GenBank genome assembly. Lineage: Eukaryota; Metazoa; Chordata; Lepidosauria; Squamata; Lacertidae.
GCGACAGCUCAGCCCGUAGAGCAUGAGACUCUUAACCCUCAGGGUCGUGGGUUCGAGCCCCACACGUUGGGCA